GCGAACAGAGAAAAGAGAGAAAACAGGAUGUAAAGGUACACUACCUAGCAAGAUAAAUCAUCAUCUUGAACAAACUCCUAACCCACAUGACAAAAUCCUAGAGCCAUGAGCCAAACCAUGGGAAAUUCGUCCCAUCCAAAGCCAUUCUCGAUCCAUCAAACCAUGUCCAAGUAGGAUAAGCAACCAGCAGAGGCAUAGAUACCACAACUUAAACAAACUGAACAUUGUUUAUGUUUGCCAAAACUCACACUAAACUUCAUUGUCAACUUAGGUGGAAGGAACCAACAAUGAAAUGAACCUUCGGAUACCACCUGCAUCAUGCAUCAGAUUUUCAUCCUCAAAGUCCUUAGAGUCCUGAAGACAAGAAAGAAUAAACACAGUUUUAAGUUCCAAAAUGUAGAAAACAUUGCAGAGUUAAAGAAGAAUAAGAAAAAAAAUACAUAUGAAAUGUAUCACCCAAAUUAUUGAUGUUCAGCACUUCAAAACUUAAUGUCCAUUUAUAUAUAGGGUCUAGAAUUAACCUGCACUGUCACUAUAAUAGCCACCACCUCGUCCACUGUAGGCGUAGGGAAUUUCCCUGUUUAGUAUUUUAAUACAGUUAACGUGAGCUAUUUUCGGCCAGUCUUCUCCUCUUACCUCGCAUCGCUUCUGUAAC
RNAcentral lists this long non-coding RNA (655 nucleotides) under Lotus japonicus. Its description in RNAcentral is "long non-coding RNA (LJAP_LNC001604)". The record is from RNAcentral. Lineage: Eukaryota; Viridiplantae; Streptophyta; Magnoliopsida; Fabales; Fabaceae.